Molecule: long non-coding RNA, 300 nt
Filed under: Fukomys damarensis (Damara mole-rat)
Lineage: Eukaryota; Metazoa; Chordata; Mammalia; Rodentia; Bathyergidae
Description: lncRNA (ENSFDAG00000030002.1)
Source: RNAcentral
AACGGUUCUGUGUUCCCAGGACUGCAGAAGGAGGCACAGAAGGCAAUAGGUGUGGAUUCUCUGAGCCUCUGGGUGCUGGGAAACCACCUGACACAGUUCCUCCUUUCAACCGGUUGCUCUGUCACUGCGUGCGUGUAAAAAGCUGUCUCUAGCAAAGUAGAACCCGGAUGCAAAAAUUUACUUAUUCUCUUCCCCAACCGAAGAAGUGCUUCCUCUGAAUUCCCCAUUUCUGUCCCCAUUUCAUUGAAUAAACCCUUCUCCUAGAUUCUGGUUCAGCAUUAUAUUUCAUGUACCACCCCG